This 73-nucleotide transfer RNA is filed under the name Candidatus Epulonipiscium sp. RNAcentral's name for it is "tRNA-Val". It matches the Rfam family "tRNA". Rfam says of the family: Transfer RNA (tRNA) molecules are approximately 80 nucleotides in length. Their secondary structure includes four short double-helical elements and three loops (D, anti-codon, and T loops). Lineage: Bacteria; Bacillati; Bacillota; Clostridia; Lachnospirales; Lachnospiraceae. The record is from RNAcentral.
GUCGGAUUAGCUCAGCUGGGAGAGCACUUGCCUUACAAGCAGGCUGUCGUAGGUUCGAUCCCUACAUCCGACA